GCCUGGCCGGAAGGCGGCCGGCGAGAGCGCCACUGACCCCGGCCGGCUGGGGGCGGGCUUGGGCCCCAGGACGGAGGCGGGGUUCGCGCGGCCGCAGGCCUCGGGCAGAGUGGCGGGGGCUGGGCUGCCCGUGCUGAGGCUUCGGUCGCGGCCGGGGUUAGGGGCGGCACGUCAGGCGGGGGAGGCGAACGACCAGGAGCCCUCCCCACUGUGUGCCUCUGGGACGUCUCGACCUGUCGACGUUUGUUCCCCACGAGCCCAGGCAGCGUGACUGAGCAGGAGUCGGGAGCGAGGCCGGUCCCCUGCCCCACCGGCAGCGCCUGCCGGGCCCGCUGCUGUGUCGCCUGCCUCCCUGGAGCUGCCCUUCCCGUGGGACAGACAGAAAGUUGCUGAGUGUGGCUGAGAACCCCCAGCAAGUCCAAAUCCUGUGUCGUGGACUCCAGCAUCCAGGGCACGCGGAUGUCUGCGAUGCCCAGGACCCUUCGGACCCUCUCAGGGAACGUGCCAUCGCAGCGCAAAGUCCUCCGUGUCCUGCCUUCAG
Molecule: long non-coding RNA, 541 nt
Organism: Lemur catta (Ring-tailed lemur)
Lineage: Eukaryota; Metazoa; Chordata; Mammalia; Primates; Lemuridae
Exons: 3
Source: RefSeq, a predicted model, not a curated record